Andrographis paniculata is the source of this 1289-nucleotide long non-coding RNA. RefSeq lists it as uncharacterized. Lineage: Eukaryota; Viridiplantae; Streptophyta; Magnoliopsida; Lamiales; Acanthaceae. The transcript has 3 exons. The record is from RefSeq and is a predicted model, not a curated record.
GAAAUCUGCUAAUAACGUUACGAUUAUACCAGCAAUAUACUUUUAAUGAUUCAUAUGCACAUAUGUAAGUAAUCAUCUAGUGUACAUUGGGUUCUCAAGAUUGCUUAAAUGUGCUCUUUACCCUAAACAACGUAAGAUUUCCCAAAGCUCUAGGAAAGAAUAACCACCUUAUUCUAGAAAGCAUGAUUUGGCAAAUUGGCAUUUCAUCAGAGUUGAAGUUUUCUACGGGACACUACUCUGUAACUUUAAUCGUUAAUCUGCCCAUGAAUUCAAUCACACUUUUUAUUACUCUAAUUAGACUGUUUCAUCAGUUCUACCUAGUGUCGUGGACCAGAUGAGGGAUUUAUUUAUCGUUGAGUGUUCUUGCCUUCCCGAAUUUCUACCCAAGAACCAACUUUUAGACGUGAAAAGGGACUUCCGGAAGAUUUUAGAAAAGUGUUCCUAUAACUGUAUAGAGUCACAUAUGUGUCAAGCAAGAAAAUAUAUUCUCUCAUUAGCUAAGUAACAAAACACAUUCUCCCCGAUCUAAUCUACAAAACCUCUAAAUUUUCUUGUAUUCUUAAAGCUGUAGUAAGCAUAAUCUUGCUAGAGUCGAACGUAUGUGCCUAGCAAGAACAAUCAAAGCCGUGACACUAGAGACCUUCCUAAGAUAAUGCAGUAUAUUAAGAUGCACUAGCACAUAUUGUCCUCCAAUUGCUUCCUGAGUUGUAUGUAGUCUCUAAUUGCAUACAAACUCAAAGAAAUGAAUAAAAGUAACAUAUAUAAUAAAGCUCUUGAGCCAAGGAAAGAAAUUCUGAACAUUACCUUGCAUUACCCACUCGCUUGUUUCUGUGCUUACUUCUACCUCAGGUGUAGCAAACAGAACCCUGCUGCAGCCGCCUUCAGUCAACAAUUUAUAAUCACAAACAUCAGAAAAUAUGGAUUUCAAUAAGAACCUAUGCGUGGAAGGCAGAACCAGUCUAUGAAAAGGAACUAGAAGAGUUCUCCCAAAGUUAGAAGACAAAGCUACAAUGUUAACAGCGUAGCUUGAGCCUGUGCUUAGGUGCGAAAAUCGAAGGUGAUAUGGAUUUCAAUACGAACUAAUGCGUGGAAAAGCAGAAACAGUCUAUGAAAAGGAACUAGAAGAGUUCUCCCAAAGUUAGAAGACAAAGCCAGGUGCGAAAAUCGAAGAUGAUAUCCUCUCCCGAGGAGAUUGCUAGUUUGCUACAGAAUCAACAGAUGUACUCGGUAGACGAAAUUAUAACUUACCGUUUGUAGAUGAAAGCUGCAAAGCCGACGGUGUCUGAGGA